Molecule: long non-coding RNA, 398 nt
Organism: Numida meleagris (helmeted guineafowl)
Lineage: Eukaryota; Metazoa; Chordata; Aves; Galliformes; Numididae
Exons: 2
Source: RefSeq, a predicted model, not a curated record
CUGUCAUCCAGAAUCUCCAUGGAGCAUUUGGCUUCAAACUGAACCUGAGCAAAGAGAGAGCAAGAGCAUGAAGGGUGAGGAGGUAGGCAACCAGCAUGGAGACCAAAAAGCCACUGAAGCAUCCCAAGCCCUGUGAAGGUAAAUAGCUGAGUCAGCAAGAGCUCAAAGAGGCACCACAAGCUGCAGAACCCAGCCCACACAGCUGCUCCCAGCCUCUGUCAUCAUCAGCAAAGCAGCCCCAGAGCCCCAGUCUGAAAGACGUAGUGGAGAAGCCUUGUACAAUAAGCAGAGAUGCAGAUCUCCCUGCACAAAGGCAACACUUCGGUCUGCCAGGAAGUGGGACAAGUCCCCUGACUCCUUCCCCACCCUCCCAUCACCCAACCAAAAAAAAAAAAAAA